UACAUUUUGUUCUCGUUCCGUAUUGAGAUUUCUCUUCGCUCACCUCCUUCUCUUCUUCUUCUUCUUCUUUUCAUUCCGCGUCAUUAUUAUCGCGUGUAUCAUAUACGAUUUUGUAGAAUUUAAACGAUAUCAAAAUUCUGGCAGUUAAUUUCCAUUAUAUUCGGCAAGUUCUAUAAAAAAAAACCAAGCACACACACACCUAUCAAGUAAACUGGCUAUUUUCGCAUGAAUUCGACAUAUGUCAUUUUGAAUUUCAGAUUCGUCAGAGACAGCUUCGCUCUAUUUAUCGAUGGAUUUUGCCUUGAGCGGCUAUUAUUUUAGUUUUUAAAAGCGACUACGACAAAACUUGAACUUCGUAUACGUAAAGCUUUUAUCAAAUGUGCGCGUGAAGUUUUAUUUUUGAAAUUUGAAUUCGCUGUUAAAUGCGUCAAGCUUAUUUCCCCGUGAAAUGUUUUUACGAACGACUGUGAUGGAAUAAUUGCGAUUUUAGCGUGAAGAGCGAUGACCCGAAUUCAUUUUCAUGCGGUGUUUUUAGCACAUACGUAUAUUUUAUUUGAAAAGGCAUUUUUUUGAGAUGCGGACGUGAUUGAUGUCAGCUACAACACAGAGAUGAUGGAAAUUAUCUUACCAUUUUUUUAAUUGACCUGCGAUUACUGCCAUUUACGCCAAUACAUUUGGAAUUUGUCAGAGCUUAUCUGUUUGAGUCAUAAUAAAUUUAAAAACCGUUUUAUUAUUCAA
Contarinia nasturtii (swede midge) is the source of this 738-nucleotide long non-coding RNA. RefSeq lists it as uncharacterized. The record is from RefSeq and is a predicted model, not a curated record. The transcript has 2 exons. Lineage: Eukaryota; Metazoa; Arthropoda; Insecta; Diptera; Cecidomyiidae.